This is a non-coding RNA of Podarcis lilfordi (Lilford's wall lizard), 86 nucleotides long. NCBI's taxonomy places the organism in Eukaryota, Metazoa, Chordata, Lepidosauria, Squamata, Lacertidae. The record is from the annotation of a GenBank genome assembly.
AGCCUUGUAGCUCAGUCGGUAGAGCAUGAGACUCUUAAUCUCAGGGUCGUGGGUUGCGCAAAAUAUUCCUACAUUGCAGGGGGCUG